This 447-nucleotide ribosomal RNA is filed under the name uncultured bacterium. Its description in RNAcentral is "bacterial SSU rRNA". It matches the Rfam family "Bacterial small subunit ribosomal RNA", at positions 330 to 792 of the family's 1533-position model. The record is from RNAcentral.
ACCAGACUCCUACGGGAGGCAGCAGUGGGGAAUAUUGGGCAAUGGACGCAAGUCUGACCCAGCAACGCCGCGUGAAGGAAGAAGGCUUUCGGGUUGUAAACUUCUUUUGACAGGGAAGAGCAGAAGACGGUACCUGUCGAAUAAGCCACGGCUAACUACGCGCCAGCAGCCGCGGUAAUACGUAGGUGGCAAGCGUUGUCCGGAUUUACUGGGUGUAAAGGGCGUGUAGCCGGGCUUACAAGUCAGAUGUGAAAUCCGGGGGCUCAACCCCCGAACUGCAUUUGAAACUGUAGGUCUUGAGUAUCGGAGAGGCAGGCGGAAUUCCUAGUGUAGCGGUGAAAUGCGUAGAUAUUAGGAGGAACACCAGUGGCGAAGGCGGCCUGCUGGACGACAACUGACGGUGAGGCGCGAAAGCGUGGGGAGCAAACAGGAUUAGAUACCCGCGUA